RNAcentral lists this ribosomal RNA (773 nucleotides) under uncultured Neocallimastigales. Its description in RNAcentral is "partial large subunit ribosomal RNA". It matches the Rfam family "Eukaryotic large subunit ribosomal RNA", at positions 23 to 645 of the family's 3401-position model. The record is from RNAcentral. Lineage: Eukaryota; Fungi; Neocallimastigomycota; Neocallimastigomycetes; Neocallimastigales.
AGAGAGAGACAUGCGUGCAUAUCAAUAAGCGGAGGAAAAGAAACUAACAAGGAUUCCCCUAGUAACGGCGAGUGAAGCGGGAAGAGCUCAAAUUUGAAAUCUUAAAGGGUUUCCCUUUACGAAUUGUAGUUUAAAGAAGUGUUUUCUGUUGAGGUUUUGGUAAGAGUUCUUUGGAAUAGGACAUCAUAGAGGGUGAGAAUCCCGUAUUUGACCUUUACUUUCAACUUCGUGAUACACUUUCAAAGAGUCGGAUUGUUUGGGAAUACAGUCCAAAAUGGGUGGUAAAUUUCAUCUAAAGCUAAAUAUUGGCGAGAGACCGAUAGCGAACAAGUACCGUGAGGGAAAGAUGAAAAGAACUUUGAAAAGAGAGUUAAACAGUACGUGAAAUUGUCAAAGGGAAGCGUUUGACACCAGUGUUGUUUUUCUGAAAAUCAAUUAAAGAACUGUUUAUGCUAAGUUGUUUAGACUUUAUCAGCUAACUGUUUAGUUUUGAGCUUUUCUUUAAUGCACUUUUCAGUUAACAAGUCAACAUCAAUUUCUUUUGCUGUAAAAAAGCUUGAGGAAGGUGGCUUGAGAUUCGUCUUAAGUGUUUAUAGCCUCUUGCCUAUGCAGUCGGAGAGAUUGAGGUCUGCAGCGUAGAUCCUUCGGGGCUAAAUGCAUUUGUGCUAAGUUAUAGCAUUUUAUAGACAACUUGUUGACUAUGAUUUGUCUUGUAGCUUACUCGCUUAUGUUAUUUUACCUACGCUUAGGAUGUUGACGCAUGAGAUAUACGC